GAGAGAGAAGCAUAAGUGNUUUUAUAUGCGGCUGGCUUGAAACCAGUNUAUGGGGGUUCGAUUCCCU
Molecule: transfer RNA, 67 nt
Filed under: Amazona leucocephala (cuban parrot)
Lineage: Eukaryota; Metazoa; Chordata; Aves; Psittaciformes; Psittacidae
Description: tRNA-Ser
Rfam family: tRNA
About the family: Transfer RNA (tRNA) molecules are approximately 80 nucleotides in length. Their secondary structure includes four short double-helical elements and three loops (D, anti-codon, and T loops).
Source: RNAcentral